GGAUUGUGGUUCAGCGGUAGAACGCUGAGCACCACUGGGACCGGAGGGACCCGGGUUCGAUUCUCAGCACCA
Molecule: transfer RNA, 72 nt
Filed under: Marmota monax (woodchuck)
Lineage: Eukaryota; Metazoa; Chordata; Mammalia; Rodentia; Sciuridae
Description: tRNA.Pro
Source: RNAcentral